RNAcentral lists this ribosomal RNA (253 nucleotides) under uncultured bacterium. Its description in RNAcentral is "partial 16S ribosomal RNA". It matches the Rfam family "Bacterial small subunit ribosomal RNA", at positions 524 to 776 of the family's 1533-position model. The record is from RNAcentral.
UACAGAGGGUGCGAGCGUUGUCCGGAAUCACUGGGCGUAAAGGGCGCGUAGGCGGUCCGGUAAGCGCGUGGUGAAAGCUCGGGGCUCAACCCCGAGUCGGCCGUGCGAACUGUGGGACUGGAGCAGAGCAGAGGCAGGCGGAAUUCCGGGUGUAGCGGUGGAAUGCGUAGAGAUCCGGAAGAACACCGGUGGCGAAGGCGGCCUGCUGGGAUCUUGCUGACGCUGAGGCGCGACAGCGUGGGGAGCAAACAGG